This 498-nucleotide ribosomal RNA is filed under the name uncultured bacterium. RNAcentral describes it as "partial 16S ribosomal RNA". It matches the Rfam family "Bacterial small subunit ribosomal RNA", at positions 899 to 1397 of the family's 1533-position model. The record is from RNAcentral.
ACUCAAAGGAAUUGACGGGGACCCGCACAAGCGGUGGAGCAUGUGGUUUAAUUCGACGCAACGCGAAGAACCUUACCUAGGCUAGAAUGUGAGGGAAGGCUCGGUAACGCGAGCCGUCCGGGAAACCGGACCCAAAACAAGGUGCUGCAUGGCUGUCGUCAGCUCGUGUCGUGAGAUGUUGGGUUAAGUCCCGCAACGAGCGCAACCCUUACGGGCAGUUGCCAUCAUUAAGUUGGGAACUCUGCCCGGACUGCCGUUGAUAAAACGGAGGAAGGUGGGGAUGAUGUCAAGUCAUCAUGGCCUUUAUGCUUAGGGCUACACACGUGCUACAAUGGAUGGUACAAAACGUCGCAAUCUCGUAAGAGGGAGCUAAUCGCAAAAACCAUUCUCAGUUCGGAUUGAAGUCUGCAACUCGACUUCAUGAAGUUGGAAUCGCUAGUAAUCGCAAAUCAGCAUGUUGCGGUGAAUACGUUCCCGGGUCUUGUACACACCGCCCGU